GGCCAGAUAAAUAGCUCAGUUGGUAGAGCUUCUGAUUAGAGUUCAGGGGUUCCAGGUUCAAAUCCUGGUCUGGUCC
This is a non-coding RNA of Saccostrea echinata, 76 nucleotides long. The record is from the annotation of a RefSeq genome assembly. NCBI's taxonomy places the organism in Eukaryota, Metazoa, Mollusca, Bivalvia, Ostreida, Ostreidae.